This 509-nucleotide ribosomal RNA is filed under the name Gabrius unzenensis. RNAcentral's name for it is "partial 16S ribosomal RNA". The stretch from base 386 to 509 matches the Rfam family "Bacterial large subunit ribosomal RNA", at positions 2473 to 2597 of the family's 2925-position model. The record is from RNAcentral. Lineage: Eukaryota; Metazoa; Arthropoda; Insecta; Coleoptera; Staphylinidae.
GUCUUUUUGAUAAUAAUUUAAAGUCUAACCUGCCCAUUGAAUUUUAAAAGGCCGCAGUAUAUUGACUGUGCGAAGGUAGCAUAAUAAUUAGUUUUUUAAUUGAAAGCUGGAAUGAAUGGUUGAACGAGAAAAUAAUUGUCUCUAUUUUAAUUAAUUAGAAUUUUAUUUUUAAGUUAAAAAGCUUAAAUAAAUUUAAAAGACGAGAAGACCCUAUAGAGUUUUAUAGAAUUUUAUUUUUAAUUUAAAUAGAAUUGUUUUUAAUUAUUAAUAGAUUUUUAUUUUAUUGGGGUGAUAGAAAAAUUUAAAAAACUUUUUUUUUUAUAAGAACAUUUAUAAAUGAAAAAUUGAUCCAUUAUUUAUGAUUAUAAGAUUUAAUUACCUUAGGGAUAACAGCGUAAUUUCUUUAAAGAGUUCAAAUCGAAAAAGAAGAUUGCGACCUCGAUGUUGGAUUAAAAUAAUAUUUGGUGUAGAAGCUAAAUUAAUUAGGUCUGUUCGACCUUUAAUAUUUU